Molecule: ribosomal RNA, 253 nt
Filed under: uncultured bacterium
Lineage: Bacteria
Description: partial 16S ribosomal RNA
Rfam family: Bacterial small subunit ribosomal RNA
Source: RNAcentral
UACGAAGGGGGCAAGCGUUGUUCGGAAUUACUGGGCGUAAAGGGCGCGCAGGCGGCUGAUCAAGUCAGAUGUGAAAGCCCCGGGCUCAACCUGGGGAUAGCAUUUGGGACUGGUCGGCUAGAGUUCGGGAGAGGAGAGUGGAAUUCCCAGUGUAGAGGUGAAAUUCGUAGAUAUUGGGAAGAACACCGGUGGCGAAGGCGGCUCUCUGGACCGAUACUGACGCUGAGGCGCGAAAGCGUGGGGAGCAAACAGG